RNAcentral lists this ribosomal RNA (497 nucleotides) under uncultured bacterium. Its description in RNAcentral is "partial 16S ribosomal RNA". It matches the Rfam family "Bacterial small subunit ribosomal RNA", at positions 28 to 507 of the family's 1533-position model. The record is from RNAcentral.
GAUGAACGCUGGCGGCGUGCCUAAUACAUGCAAGUCGAGCGAACAGACGAGGAGCUUGCUCCUCUGACGUUAGCGGCGGACGGGUGAGUAACACGUGGAUAACCUACCUAUAAGACUGGGAUAACUUCGGGAAACCGGAGCUAAUACCGGAUAAUAUAUUGAACCGCAUGGUUCAAUAGUGAAAGACGGUUUUGCUGUCACUUAUAGAUGGAUCCGCGCCGCAUUAGCUAGUUGGUAAGGUAACGGCUUACCAAGGCAACGAUGCGUAGCCGACCUGAGAGGGUGAUCAGCCACACUGGAACUGAGACACGGUCCAGACUCCUACGGGAGGCAGCAGUAGGGAAUCUUCCGCAAAGGGCGAAAGCUUGACGGAGCAACGCCGCGUGAGUGAUGAAGGUCUUCGGAUCGUAAAACUCUGUUAUUUGGGAAGAACAAAUGUGUAAGUAACUAUGCACGUCUUGACGGUACCUAAUCAGAAAGCCACGGCUAACUACGUG